CCUACGGGAGGCAGCAGUGGGGAAUUUUCCGCAAUGGGCGAAAGCCUGACGGAGCAACGCCGCGUGAGGGAUGAAGGCCUCUGGGCUGUAAACCUCUUUUAUCAAGGAAGAAGAUCUGACGGUACUUGAUGAAUAAGCCACGGCUAAUUCCGUGCCAGCAGCCGCGGUAAUACGGGAGUGGCAAGCGUUAUCCGGAAUUAUUGGGCGUAAAGCGUCCGCAGGCGGUCUGUCAAGUCUGCUGUUAAAGCGUGGAGCUUAACUCCAUUUCGGCAGUGGAAACUGACAGACUAGAGUGUGGUAGGGGCAGAGGGAAUUCCCGGUGUAGCGGUGAAAUGCGUAGAUAUCGGGAAGAACACCAGUGGCGAAGGCGCUCUGCUGGGCCAUAACUGACGCUCAUGGACGAAAGCCAGGGGAGCGAAAGGGAUUAGAUACCCCUGUAGUCCUGGCCGUAAACGAUGAACACUAGGUGUCGGGGGAAUCGACCCCCUCGGUGUCGUAGCCAACGCGUUAAGUGUUCCGCCUGGGGAGUACGCACGCAAGUGUGAAACUUAAAGGAAUUGACGG
Molecule: ribosomal RNA, 564 nt
Filed under: uncultured bacterium
Lineage: Bacteria
Description: bacterial SSU rRNA
Rfam family: Bacterial small subunit ribosomal RNA
Source: RNAcentral